RNAcentral lists this ribosomal RNA (525 nucleotides) under uncultured haloarchaeon. Its description in RNAcentral is "bacterial SSU rRNA". It matches the Rfam family "Archaeal small subunit ribosomal RNA", at positions 1 to 526 of the family's 1478-position model. Lineage: Archaea; Methanobacteriati; Methanobacteriota; Halobacteria; Halobacteriales; Halobacteriaceae. The record is from RNAcentral.
UAUUCCGGUUGAUCCUGCCGGAGGCCAUUGCUCUUGGGGUCCGAUUUAGCCAUGCUAGUCGCACGGGUUCAGACCCGUGGCAAAUAGCUCAGUAGCACGUGGCCAAUCUACCCUCCGGAUCAGCACACCCUCGGGAAACUGAGGCCAAUUCUGUAUACGGCUCCCGACCUGGAAUGGUGGGAGCCAGAAACGCUCCGGCGCCGGAGGAUGAGGCUGCGGCCGAUUAGGUUGACGGUGGGGUAAUGGCCCACCGUGCCGAUAAUCGGUCUGGGUCAUGAGAGUGAGAACCCAGAGACGGACUCUGAGACAAGAUUCCGGGCCCUACGGGGCGCAGCAGGCGCGAAACCUUUACACUGCACGCCAGUGCGAUAAGGGGACCCCAAGUGCGCAGGCAUAGUGCCUGCGCUUUUCUGGACUGUAGGGCGGUCCAGGAACAAGGGCUGGGCAAGACCGGUGCCAGCCGCCGCGGUAACACCGGCAGCCCAAGUGAUGGCCGCUGUUAUUGGGCCUAAAGCGUCCGUAGCU